CACAGAGAAUUAACUUAAAUUAGGAAUAUUUACAAUAAGAAUAAAAUCCUUAUAAUUAAGCCUAAUUAGGAUCUCAAAGAUCUGAAUCCUCCAAUUAGUAACCUUCUAUAUUGGUCAACACUCCCUGCAAGUUGGUGCAAAAAUAUCACACAUGCCCAACUUGCAAACCAAUAUGUGUUAAGUCUUGCUGCUGAGCCCUUUGGUAAACGUAUCAGCUAAUUGUUCAUCGGAAGUUAUAUGAUCUAAUCUCAAGACACCAUUUAUUAAUUUUUCUUUAAUGAAAUGUCGAUCAAUCUCUAUGUGCUUCGUUCGAUCAUGUUGAACUGGAUUGUGAGCUAUAGUAAUGACAGCUUUGUUGUCACAGUACAAGAGGAGUUUGUCCCUCUCCAACAGUUUUAAUUCCUCCAACAAUCUUUGCAACCAUAGAAGUUCACAAACACCUUGUGUCCUCGCUCUAUAUUCCACCUUAGCACUUGAUCGAGCAAUAAUACUUUGUUUCUUGCAAGGUUUCCUCCUGCUAGUGUGCAGUAACCGCUAGUCGAUCUAUCAUUAAGAGAUCCAACCCAAUCGAUAUCUGUGAAUGCUUGUAUGCGGAGAUGACCAUGUUUAGAGAACAUGAGACUUUUUCCAGGAGCAGACUUUAAGUAUCACAAAAUGUGAAAAAUAGCUUACAUGUGAGACUCACGUGAAUCAUGCAUAAACUGACUGACUAAGCUGACUGCAUAUGUUAUAUCUAGUCGCGUAUGCGAAAGAUAAAUCAGUCUGCCUACUAACCUCUGAUAUCUGUCAAUAUCUGCUGAUUCACCAAUCCCUGCUUGUAAUUUGUGAUUGCUCUUAAUGGGAGUUUCUUCUUGUUUGCAGUCUAACAUACCGGUUUCUUUCAAAAUAUCCAGAAUGUAUUUUCUCUGAUAAAUAAAAGUUUCCUUUUUUGAUCUAGCAAGUUUGAUUCCUAGGAAAUAUUGAAGUUUUUCUAAAUUUUUAAUUUCGAACUCCUGAGUGAAAAGCUUUUUCAGCCGAGUCAUCUCUUCAGUGUUAUCUCCUAUUAUUUCUAUGUCAUCAACAUAGACUAUUAACAGAGUAAUUUUACCUUUGUAAUGUCUGAUAAAUAGAGUAUGGUUAGCAUUACUCUGUUGAUAGCAAAAAAAAAUCAUUGUUCUGCUGAAUCAAUCAAACCAAGUUUUGGGUGACUGCUUCAACCCAUACAAAGCCUUUUUUAGCCUAUACACUUUUCCUUGUAUUUUUUCAUCAGCAAAUUCAGGAGAAAUUUCCGUAUACACUUCCUCCUCCAAGUCUCCAUGGAGGAAUGCAUUUUUCACAUUAAAUUGUUGUAGGUUCCAGUUAAGAUUGGCAGCGCAAGAUAACAAUACUCCGAUUGAGUUUAUUUUGGCAGCAGAGGCAAAUGUCUCCUGGUAAUCCACUCCAUAGGUUUAAAUAUAUCUCUUGGCAACUAGUCUAGUCUUGAAUAUUUCAAUUGAUCCAUCUGCUUUGUACUUCACAGUAAACACCCAUUUAUAGCCAACUGGUUUUUCUACAGGUGGAAGAGAUAUCAACUCUCAGGUCUCAUUUUUAGUCCAAACUUUUAUUUCUUCAAUCAUUGCUCCCUUCCAAUUAGAAUUUUUGAGAGUUUCCUUCCAAUCCUAUUUCUUCAAUCAUUGCUCCCUUCCAAUUAGAAUAUUUGAGAGCUUCCUUCAAAUCUUAUGGGAUAGAUACGGAGGAAAUAGAUAAGACAAAGGCUCUAUAGGAUGGAGACAAAGAAUCAUAAGAGAGAAAAUUAGAAAUAGAGUGCUUUGUGCAAGACUUAACUCCUUUUCGUUGAGCAAUUGGUUUAUCUAGAUCAUCAAUGGGCUCAAGGUUUAGGGAUGACUCACCAGAUGGAGAAAAAAAAGAUUCAUGACACUGAGUAGAUUGCACAAUGACUUUUUUUUGCUUUUGUAAUGUCUCUUAUUGAGUAUUUCCUUAAAUUUGGUUUAUCCAAACGCCCAAUUAUUUUUUUUUUAUCACCAUUAGUCUUCCCUAUAUAGCAGUCUCCUCCAUAGUAAAAUGCUCUAGAGGUAUAAGACUAGCAAUCAUCUCUUCUUUCUCAUUGUUCUCCUCCUGAAGAGGUGAUGGGGCAGUAUUGAAGUAAGGUUCAGUCUCUCUAAAUGAAACAUUCAUACUGACAAAGUAUUUUCUAGAUGCAAGGUGGUAACACUUGUAACUCUUCUGUGUAGGAGAGUAUCCAACAAACACACAUUUAAGAGCCCUCAGAUCAAGCUUCCCACCUGUUCUAGUAUAAACAAAAAACAUGCAUCCAAACACCUUUAGUGGAACAGUAUAAGCAUUUUUCCCUUGUAGCACCUCUAAAGGGAUUUUACAGGCAAAAGGUUUGAGAGGCAUUUUAUUAAUGAGAUAAACUGUGGUUAAGAGUGCAUCUCCCCCAAUAGGUUUUUGGAAGGUUCACGGUGAAUAGGAGAGAUCAAACUACUUUCAAUAUGUGCCUAUUUUUUCUUUCAGCAAUACCAUUUUGGAUAUUAGUGUAAGGACAAUAGUUUGAUGAAGUAUCCCAUUAGAUUCUAGAUAAGCAUAAAAACGUCCAUCCAUGUACUCUGUACCAUUAUAAGUUCUCAAAAUUUUUAUCUUAGUAUCAAAUGGAGUACAAACCAUCUUGUGAAAAUAUUGAAAGCAAGAAAACACACCAUUCUUUGCGUUUAUCAAAUAAACCCAAGUCAUACGAGUGCAACAAUCAAUAAAAGUAAUAAACCAAUGAUUACCAGAUAAUGAGACCGUUUGAGUAAGUCUCCAAACGUCAGAAUAGAUGGUCACAAAAGGAAUCAUAUUCCUAUUGUUACUUGAGGGAUAAGAGGUUCUUGUAUGCUUAGCGUACUCAUAAGCAUCGCAGACUAAAGAAUCACUCUGAGGCUUAGAAAAUAAAGCAGGAUAAAAUUUCUCUAAAACAAAAAAGGAUGGGUGUUCUAAUCGUCGAUGCCACUGUAUGAUUUCUUGGUUCACAUCCUAAUUUCUUCUAAAAAGAGCUCGAGGUGAAUUCAGACUCAGAUUCCCUUCCAACAUAUAUAAGUCAUCCUGCAGUCUACCAUUGUCAUUCCUCUUCCCAGUUUAAAGGUCCUGAAUAAUACAAUAAUUAGGAAAAAAAUCAAUUUUACAAUUAAGUGCUUUGGUGAGAGCACUAACAGAUAAAAGAUUAAUAGGAAAAUAAGUAACAUGAAGAACAGAGGAUAGCUUUAUAUUUGAAGUACAAAUAAUAGAACUGAUGCUAGAGAUAGGAGUGGAAGAACUAUCUGUGAUCCUAACAGUGUCUUUUUGUAGAUGUAGAAAGGUAAUAUUUGUUGGAAGAACCAUCUACGAUCCUAACAGUGCCCUUUUGUAGAUGUAGAAAGGUAAUAUUUGUUGUAUCUAUUACAGUAGAGAUCACAACAUAUUUAUACAUGAGAAACUGUAUCUAGAAAGAAAAGGAAAUCAAGAAAUCAAGACUAUGAUCAUGCAAUCCCUAAGAUUAGGCAACUAACACAUCUAUCAAUAUUUACUUUCUAUAUUAACAUAUUUACUUUCUAUAACACUCCUCCUCAAGUUGGAGUAUAGAUGUUAUGCCCAACUUGUUACAUAUAUGAAGAAUUUUAGGAAAAUUUAGAGUAUUCUUGUAUUUUCCUCUUAAUCUUUACAAUUGGUCUACAUGACUAUUUAUACACAAAGAAUUAUAUCUAAACAGGAAGCAAAUAAUCAAAUAAUAAUUACAGAGAUAAUUAAAGAUGCUAAUCAAAUCAAAUCAUAUCCCUAGAAUUAGCUAGGAUCAGCAAAUAAGUCAACAUUCUCCCUCAAGUUGGUGCAAAGAUGUCGCACAUGCCCAACUUGCAAAUCAGGUUAUGGUAGAUCUUGUUGUUGAGUCCUUUAGUAAACACAUCCACAAGUUGCCCAGUAGAAGUCACAAGAACUAGGCUUAAGACACCGUUUGUUAAGUAUAGACUGGAUUUUGUGCUAUACUUAUAGCAGUUUUUUAUGCGGAACCCAGGACCAACCUGUGAUCAAAAACCCUGUCACACAACUUGACAAAGAACAAGACAAAAAUAUCUUCCAAAAAGUUGCUCUAAUACACUCCUAACCAACUAAUAUGAUUAGAAACAUAGAUAAUCAAGCGAAAGUUGCUCUACUACACCCCUAACCAACCAAUGUGAUUAGAAACAUAGAUAAUCAAGCGAUUCCAGUUUCAGGAACGCCACAAGAAAUUCUUGAUAAGUUGACUAAGCAUGGAGGAUAUCCAUAUUAGAACGCCACAAGAUUAAACCUUGAUAAGUUGCUAAAUAGUGGAGAAGAACUAAAUAUUGUUCAUAACAUCAUUUUUAUUCGUUUUCCUCUUGUGGCUGCCACCUUAAGGGUGUUUUUAUACCCUUCAAACCCUAAUUCUAUUGUAGGAAGGUGUAAUUACAAUAUAGGAAGUGUAUCUAGUCAAAUAAUCAAACCUAGAUUACAUUAAAAAUCAUUUUCCUAAAUUGUUUUGGAGAAAUCUCCUUCCUAAAUGGGCUGCACGAAUUUGGCUUUUAAUAUAGGCCAAAUUUAUUUAAAACAAAUCCCACAAAAUACUAAAAUACCAAAAUAACAAAAUUGGUCUAAAUGCAAUUUGGCCAUACAUGCAUUACGCGAUUUGAAAUUGUAUUGUGUGUUCACAUGUGUUGAAGAGAGUGCCUUGUUUUUUUAUUCUCCCAUACUUCCCAAAUAUAGUUCUCAUCUGUAAGCCUUGAAUUAAGCGAUGGGAACUUGAUUUGUCAUGAUUUGGAGUUUUCCAUUUUAAAUCUUUGAAGCAUCGUAUUAUUUUCUUGCUCGUAUCAUUCUCUCCUUUUUCGAAAAGAUUCGUCCUCGAAUCUUCAACCAUAAUGACAAGAAAAGAAUCGACAGACAUGGGAUCCUCUUUAAAUUCAGUAUGACAUUUUGCGAAUAAAACACUAAAUUUUGACAUCUCUCCUCUUUUUUUCCUUUUUUUUUUUUUAAAUCAAACAACUGAAACGAUUUUUUUUCACUUUUUUUUUAUCUCACUUUUUUUUAAUAAAAAAAAACUCACACUACUAAAAUAAAAAAUUUUUCUUCUUAUUUUUUAUAUAAAUAUAACUGAAUUUUUUUUUUCUUUGUUUUUUUUUUGAGAGAAAUUAUAACAUAAACUAAAAUAAAAAAAAAUAAGAUAGAGUAAAAAAAUAAAAAAAAACUUACGAAAUAAAUAAAUAUAGAUAAAUAGGAAUUUAUCUAUCACCGUGCUCUGAUACCAACUGAUGCGGAACCCAGGACCAACAUGUGAUAAAAAACCCCGUCACACAACUUGAUAAAGAACAAGACAAAGAUAUAUUUCAAAAAGUUGCUUUACUACUCCCCUAACCAACUAAUGUGAUUAGAAACAUAGAUAAUCAAGCGAAGGUUGCUUUACUAUACCUCUAACCAACCAAUGUGAUUAGAAACAUAGAUAAUCAAGCGAUUCCAGUUUCGAGAACGCCACAAGAAAUUCUUGAUAAGUUAACUAAGCAUGGAGGAUAUCCAUAUUAGAACGCUACAGGGUUAGAUCUUGAUAAGUUGCUAAAUAGUGGAGAAGAACCAAAUAUUGUUCAUAACAUCAUCUUUAUUCGUUUUCCUCUUGUGGUUGCUACCUUAAGGGUGUUUUUAUAGCCUUCAAACCCUAAUUCUAUUGUAGGAAGGUGUAAUUACAAUAUAGGAAGUGUAUCUAGUCAAAUAAUCAAACCUACAUUACAUUAAAGAUCAUUUUCCUAAAUUGUCUUGGAGAAAUCUCCUUCUUAAAUGGGCUGCACGAAUUUGGCUUUUAAUAUAGGCCAAAUUAAUUUAAAACAAAUCCCACAAAAUACUAAAAUACAAAAAUAACAAAAUUGGUCUAAAUGCAAUUUGGCCAUACAUGCAUUAUGCGAUCUGAAAUUGUAUUGUGCGUCCACAUGUGUUGAAGAGAGUGCAACUUGUUUCCUUAUUCUCCCAUACUUCCCAAAUAUAGUUCUCAUCUCGUAAGCCUUGAAUUAAGUGAUGGGAACUUGAUUUAUCAUGAUUUGGAGUUUCCCAUUUUAAAUCUUUGAAGCAUCGUAUUAUUUCCUUGCUCGUAUCAGUUUUAUUGUCACAAUACAAAGUUAUCUUGUCUCUCUCGGGCAACCUCAACUCCUCCAAUAACUUCUGCAACCAUAAGAGUUCACACACCUUGGGUCAUUGCUCUGUAUUCUGCUUUAGCACUUGACCAAGCAACAACACUUAGUUUUUUGCUCCUCUACGUGACAAGGUUUCCUCCCACAACUAUGCAGUAGCCACAGGUGGAUCUCCUGUCAUCGAGAGAUCCUGCCCAAUCUGCAUCUGUAAAAGCUUCAAUUCGGAGGUGACCAUGUUUGGAGUAAAGAAGCCCUUUCCUUGGCGCAAACCUUAGAUAUCUCAAUAUGCGAAGUACAGGCUGCAUAUGAGUCUCGCGAGAGUUAUGCAUGAAUUGGCUGACUAAGCUAAUAGCAUAGACUAUAUCCGGUCGAGUGUGUUAGAGAUAAAUCGACCUUCCUACCGAUCUCUGUUAUCUUCCAAUAUCCACGAACUCAUCAGUUCCUGCUUCCAGCUUGUGAUUACUUGCAAUGGGAGAUUCUGCUGGUUUACAUUCCAUCAUACUAGUUUCUUCCAAAAUAUCCAUAAUAUACUUUCUUUGGGAGAUAAAAAUUCUUUUUUCUGAUCUAG
This 6684-nucleotide long non-coding RNA is filed under the name Manihot esculenta (cassava). Its description in RNAcentral is "long non-coding RNA (MESC_LNC003321)". The record is from RNAcentral. Lineage: Eukaryota; Viridiplantae; Streptophyta; Magnoliopsida; Malpighiales; Euphorbiaceae.